AGUGAACGCUGGCGGUAGGCCUAACACAUGCAAGUCGAACGGCAGCACAGUAAGAGCUUGCUCUUACGGGUGGCGAGUGGCGGACGGGUGAGGAAUACAUCGGAAUCUACUUUUUCGUGGGGGAUAACGUAGGGAAACUUACGCUAAUACCGCAUACGACCUACGGGUGAAAGCAGGGGAUCUUCGGACCUUGCGCGAUUGAAUGAGCCGAUGUCGGAUUAGCUAGUUGGCGGGGUAAAGGCCCACCAAGGCGACGAUCCUUAUCUGGUCUGAGAGGAUGAUCAGCCACACUGGAACUGAGACACGGUCCAGACUCCUACGGGAGGCAGCAGUGGGGAAUAUUGGACAAUGGGCGCAAGCCUGAUCCAGCCAUACCGCGUGGGUGAAGAAGGCCUUCGGGUUGUAAAGCCCUUUUGUUGGGAAAGAAAAGCAGCAGGUUAAUACCCCGCUGUUCUGACGGUACCCAAAGGAUAAGCACCGGCUAACUUCGUG
This 492-nucleotide ribosomal RNA is filed under the name uncultured bacterium. RNAcentral's name for it is "partial 16S ribosomal RNA". It matches the Rfam family "Bacterial small subunit ribosomal RNA", at positions 29 to 507 of the family's 1533-position model. The record is from RNAcentral.